Molecule: ribosomal RNA, 497 nt
Filed under: uncultured bacterium
Lineage: Bacteria
Description: partial 16S ribosomal RNA
Rfam family: Bacterial small subunit ribosomal RNA
Source: RNAcentral
GACGAAAGAGGGAGGAGGGACGAAUACAUGCAAGUUGAGCGCUGAAGGUUGGUACUUGUACCAACUGGAUGAGCAGCGAACGGGUGAGUAACGCGUGGGGAAUCUGCCUUUGAGCGGGGGACAACAUUUGGAAACGAAUGCUAAUACCGCAUAAAAACUUUAAACACAAGUUUUAAGUUUGAAAGAUGCAAUUGCAUCACUCAAAGAUGAUCCCGCGUUGUAUUAGCUAGUUGGUGAGGUAAAGGCUCACCAAGGCGAUGAUACAUAGCCGACCUGAGAGGGUGAUCGGCCACAUUGGGACUGAGACACGGCCCAAACUCCUACGGGAGGCAGCAGUAGGGAAUCUUCGGCAAUGGACGAAAGUCUGACCGAGCAACGCCGCGUGAGUGAAGAAGGUUUUCGGAUCGUAAAACUCUGUUGGUAGAGAAGAACGUUGGUGAGAGUGGAAAGCUCAUCAAGUGACGGUAACUACCCAGAAAGGGACGGCUAACUACGUG